AGAGCGAACGCUGGCGGCAGGCUUAACACAUGCAAGUCGAGCGGGCGUAGCAAUACGUCAGCGGCAGACGGGUGAGUAACGCGUGGGAACGUACCUUUUGGUUCGGAACAACCCAGGGAAACUUGGGCUAAUACCGGAUAAGCCCUUACGGGGAAAGAUUUAUCGCCGAAAGAUCGGCCCGCGUCUGAUUAGCUAGUUGGUGGGGUAAUGGCCCACCAAGGCGACGAUCAGUAGCUGGUCUGAGAGGAUGGUCAGCCACAUUGGGACUGAGACACGGCCCAAACUCCUACGGGAGGCAGCAGUGGGGAAUAUUGGACAAUGGGCGCAAGCCUGAUCCAGCCAUGCCGCGUGAGUGAUGAAGGCCCUAGGGUUGUAAAGCUCUUUUGUGCGGGAAGAUAAUGACGGUACCGCAAGAAUAAGCCCCGGCUAACUUCGCGCCAGCAGCCGC
This 448-nucleotide ribosomal RNA is filed under the name uncultured bacterium. Its description in RNAcentral is "SSU rRNA". It matches the Rfam family "Bacterial small subunit ribosomal RNA", at positions 26 to 518 of the family's 1533-position model. The record is from RNAcentral.